UGCUGCGUGUAUUAAGACGACGACAGUAUUCUGUUCCUGGCCCAAACUCUUUGUGGCAUAUAGAUGGCCACCAUAAGCUCAUCAGGUGGAGAUUUGUUGUCCAUGGUGGGGUGGAUGGAUUCAGUCGUUUAGUGGUCUACCUGACUGUGGCUGGCAAUAAUCGUGCUCAGACGGUCUUACAGAGCUUUAUUGCCGCUGCCGAGCAGUAUGGGCUGCCAUCAAGGGUACGGUCUGAUAAAGGGGGGGAGAAUGCAGAUGUAGCAGAAUUCAUGAUCAGAAGCAGAGGUACCGACAGGAAUUCACACAUCACAGGCAGAAGUGUCCACAAUCAGCGAAUAGAGAGGAUGUGGAGAGAUGUUUAUGAACAUGCCCUGGACCUCUUCUAUCAGAUUUUCACUUCAUUGCAAGAUCAGGGAACACUGAAUCCAGACAAUGAAGUCCAUCUUUUCGCACUGCACCGGAUCUUCCUUCCACUAAUUCAGCAAAGCCUCGACUCUUUCCGAGAUGCUUGGAACUUUCAUGGUCUUAGAACUGAAAGGAAUCAGUCGCCACAGCAACUCUGGAGAAGAUACAGAGAGCAAGGCCCUAUGGAGGAUCCUACUGAGGUUCCUGAAGAGUAUGGGACCGACUGGAACGGACCUCACAGUCUUCAUGGAGGCACUGUGUCAGUCCCUGAGGUUCAGCUGGCCCGUGAGCUCUCAGAUGAAGAGGUUGCCAUUUUGCCAGCUCCAGGAGUUUCUUUAACUGAUGCACUUAGAUUAUACGUAGAGACUGUGCAAGUUUUAUCCAGAAUCAUAGCAGACUGAUGUCCAACCCAGUGUUUUAUUUGUUUAUUAGUUUUCAAAGACACUGAACUUGUGUCAAUUGACCUGACCUACUUAACAGUGCAUUCAAUGACAUCUGUCUGAAAAAAUUAAACAAAUCCAAAUCCA
Gadus morhua (Atlantic cod) is the source of this 932-nucleotide long non-coding RNA. RefSeq lists it as uncharacterized. Lineage: Eukaryota; Metazoa; Chordata; Actinopteri; Gadiformes; Gadidae. The record is from RefSeq and is a predicted model, not a curated record. The transcript has 4 exons.